This is a non-coding RNA of Pelobates cultripes (western spadefoot toad), 208 nucleotides long. NCBI's taxonomy places the organism in Eukaryota, Metazoa, Chordata, Amphibia, Anura, Pelobatidae. The record is from the annotation of a GenBank genome assembly.
GGGCAACUGAACAGGGAUUGUAUAAAAAAAGAUACAGCAACCUAGCUAAAAGUUAUAACGAAUUUUAUAUGGCCAAUCAACAAAAGUUGUGGAACUGACCAGGCUGUCAUGUCCGUUUUGAAUCUAGCUAAAAUUGGGAAAAAGUGGUUAGUACAAUCAAGGGAAGACUAAGGGAACAAAUGGGCAUGAGAAAAAAAUGGCUUUAAGG